Amphibalanus amphitrite is the source of this 2272-nucleotide long non-coding RNA. RefSeq lists it as uncharacterized. The transcript has 2 exons. NCBI's taxonomy places the organism in Eukaryota, Metazoa, Arthropoda, Thecostraca, Balanomorpha, Balanidae. The record is from RefSeq and is a predicted model, not a curated record.
CGGGCAGUCGCUGUCGGCUCCGACGGAGAGUCAGUUGAGCCCGGGGUCGGGCCCGCCGCGGACGGCUCCGGCCAGAGGAGGGUGUGAGAAGGUUGUCUGGUGGACACUGGAUUUAGAGACCCACGGAGGAGUCUAUUACAUCUCCAUUACUGGAGCUUCUCCACCCACCAACGCUCAAUGGACAUAGAUGACGUCACCCUGCUUACGUCACAAGUAUGACGUGCAUCGCAGCCGAAAGGUUAUCAUCAACGGCAGGGCGGAGGCGAUGGAUCAAAUAUGUGCCGGCUACGAGCUCAGAAUUCUGAGUAUCCCCGAGGCCCAGCGCACGUCUCGUGAUGUUUUCUAAGUCUGAAAGACGUUAGGGUUCUUUGUUGACGAAUUCUAAAGGAGGACGCUGCUGUGAGAAUGGAAAAUAUGACAGGCAGUGACAAAACGAGCCAAAACACGGCGCGUUGUGCGUCCUAACUACCUCACUGACGUACCGACAGAGGCAGCUCCCAACUCGCCAAUAGAUCACCCAGGAGCGACGCAACAGUUGACGGACUAAGUCGGCAGCGACGAGAGAGAGGGAGAGAAAAAGAGAGGCGCUUUUUCACCUCCCACGCCACACUGCAGCCCUCCCACUCCCCGCUCAGCAGUCGAUCGAACGGCCUGUUGCAUCUAUUCGCCGCUGCGUUGUCAAUAGUGCCCAGACUACGUCACCGGCUCAAAUCAGUCGCUGAUUGGUGGAAAAGUGCUGAUGGACGAUUGCGAAUCGGCGCCUGAACGAGCAUGAUUGUGUUUAUUCAAAUUGAGCAAUGAAAGCGUCACAAUAAGCGCAGCGUGUCAGUUCCAAUUCCACAGCACAUUCACUGGACCAUGAUUCCGGUUUUUACUGCAGUGUGAAUAAUUUCGACAUCCAGGAAACACUCAUCGCCGUAAAACAGCGGGUUUUCAGCUACAAAGAAGUGGUGUGUACACCAGCGAGAACAUUUGCGGUCUGUGGCAAAAACGGAGCGACAAAAGCAAGACAACAAGAAGGCUGCACCACUGCGCCAGAGACAACCUCUCUUCGACGGGUGGUACUGGCUUUAGUAGAAAGCACUCGGAACGAAAAACUCCUUCGGCUUUCUUCGCAGCGAGUCGCGAUGAACGCAGUGCGUGAUUUGAUGCUGAGCUUCGAUGCCGUGUUCUUCUGUCUGCUGCUGCUGGCGUGUCUGCUAGCACUGGGAUUCUAUCUGCGGAAACCAGAGAGCACGGCAGGUGAGUAUAUCGAGGUCGUCACGCAGCCCACAGGUGAUGUGUAUGAAUUGUGAGCUGCUGGGGGUGUUGCUAAAAAAAGACGUUCGGAACCGCAUGAGUGAGAACUCAAAGUGAGAACUGGGAGUAAGGACUCGGCACGAAACCUUGGAGUGAGAACUAGGAGUGGGGGGUCACCGUGAAAAGUUGAAGUGAGACUCGGAGUGAGAGCUCUGAUUUACGGCGCAGAGUGUGAUCUCGGGUCGUGAACUCGAAGUGAACUCUCGCAGAAAGCGGACGGUGUGACAAAAACUCGAGUCGUAAAAGACAGUGUUUUUUGUCGGAGCUCCGGUUCAGAAAAAGGUGCAAUGUCGGGCUCUUAUGAACAGAGGCGGGUUGUGAUGGAAUAUCGACGAACAUUCGAUCCCUGUGGGUGUCGAGAUAGACUAAUCGAAACCGACGGAAGGUUUCGCCGACGACGGCGCGUCCUCUCGCAGCCUGCCCGUCGAUCAGUGUAUUGCGGUGCAGCAGACCACGCAGGCGCUGUACUGGUGCUGACAUCUGCCGGCCAGCAACAUAAGUGGUGUUUGUGAUAUCAUCCGCGAGAUGCCGGGUGCUGACAGGCUGAGAGCACCCCGUGUUUUAGUAACUGGACCGGUGUUAGAAUAGCAUUGCCAUUGUAUUUGUUACGGAAUCGCGAUGCAUUUCUAAUGAGUGAGCGCAUGCAUACAUGAAUGAAUGAAUGAAUGAAUGAAUGAAUGAAUGAAUGAAUGAAUGAAUGAAUCAUGAAGAAAGGAAGGAAUGAAAGAAGGAGCAAGCGAAUAUAAGACUAUGUAUGAAGAAAUGAAUGAAUGAAUGAAUGAAUGAAUGAAUGAAUGAGUGAGUGAAUGAAUGAGUCAAUGAAUAAAUGAAUGAAUGGAGGAUGAAUGAAUGGACGUGUUUCCGUGCAGUGUUCGCUCAGCUCUUCCACAAGCGUGCUCAGACUAUUCACGUUCGCUGAUUGUCACGACUUUCGCACUGUCGGUUGGAAUAAAUGGAUAACAGCGUUGCUCAA